This 1341-nucleotide ribosomal RNA is filed under the name uncultured bacterium. RNAcentral describes it as "partial 16S ribosomal RNA". It matches the Rfam family "Bacterial small subunit ribosomal RNA", at positions 8 to 1372 of the family's 1533-position model. The record is from RNAcentral.
AGAGUUUGAUCCUGGCUCAGGAUGAACGCUGGCGGCGUGCUUAACACAUGCAAGUCGAACGAUUAACCCGCCCUCGGGCGGUUAUAGAGUGGCGAACGGGUGAGUAACACGUGACCAACCUGCCCCUUGCUCCGGGACAACCCAGGGAAACCUCGGCUAAUACCGGAUACUCCGCGCAGCCCGCAUGGGCGGCGCGGGAAAGCCCAGACGGCAAGGGAUGGGGUCGCGGCCCAUUAGGUAGACGGCGGGGUAACGGCCCACCGUGCCCGCGAUGGGUAGCCGGGUUGAGAGACCGAUCGGCCACAUUGGGACUGAGAUACGGCCCAGACUCCUACGGGAGGCAGCAGUGGGGAAUUUUGCGCAAUGGGGGAAACCCUGACGCAGCAACGCCGCGUGCGGGACGAAGGCCUUCGGGUUGUAAACCGCUUUCAGCAGGGAAUAUAGUGAAGGUACCUGCAGAAGAAGCUCCGGCUAACUACGUGCCAGCAGCCGCGGUAAUACGUAGGGAGCGAGCGUUAUCCGGAUUCAUUGGGCGUAAAGCGCGCGUAGGCGGCCCGUCAAGCGGGGUUUCAAAUCCAGGGGCUCAACCUCUGGCCGGACCCCGAACUGGCGGGCUCGAGUGCGGUAGAGGAAGGUGGAAUUCCCAGUGUAGCGGUGAAAUGCGCAGAUAUUGGGAAGAACACCGAUGGCGAAGGCAGCCUUCUGGGCCGCCACUGACGCUGAGGCGCGAAAGCUAGGGGAGCGAACAGGAUUAGAUACCCUGGUAGUCCUAGCCGUAAACGAUGGGCACUAGGUGUGGGGGAGCAUCUUCUGCGUGCAGCAGCCAACGCAGUAAGUGUCCCUCGGGGGGGGAGUGCGGAUGGAAGGAUACAAGUCAAAGGACUUGUUGGGGGUUCGCGCCAGCAGGGGAGCAUGUGGCUUAAUUGGUAGCUACGGGGAGAUCCCUUGCUGGGGUGGACAUGCAGGUGAAGGGGUGGAAGUGAGGUGAUCGAGAUGAGCGCGGGCAGGUGGUGCAGGGCAGUGGUUAGGUGGUGUAGGGAGAGGAUGGGUUAAGUCAUGCGCAGAGCGCAUCUCCUGUCGCGUGUGGCCAGCCAUGAGUGGGGGAGUCGCGAGAGGUUUCCGGCGUCGAACGGGGGGAAGGAGGGGAAGGCGAUAAGUGAUCGUGCGCUCUAUCCUUAGGCACGCCCGCGUGUUCCAAUGACGGGUACGGCGGGUAGUGUCGCGCGGGAGGGGGAGCGGAUCCCUCUAAGCCGCCCCCAGUUGGGAUGGCCGGGAGCAAUUCGCGUGAGUGAAGCGGCAGUAGAGAGUAAUCGAGGAUCAGCACGAGGCGGGGAAUAAGUU